GGGGUUUGACAUGCAGGUGGUACUGACCUGAAAGGGGAGGGACCCUCGCUUUUAGUGAGGGGGCCUGCAC
RNAcentral lists this ribosomal RNA (70 nucleotides) under uncultured bacterium. RNAcentral describes it as "partial 16S ribosomal RNA". The record is from RNAcentral.